AUACGGAGGAUGCAAGCGUUAUCCGGAUUUAUUAGGUUUAAAGGGUGUGUAGGCGGUAUUUUAAGUAAGUGGUGAAAUCUCGGAGCUUAACUUCGAAACUGCCAUUGAUACUGAAAUACUUGAGUAUAGUUGAGGUAGGCGGAAUAUGUAAUGUAGCGGUGAAAUGCAUAGAUAUUACAUAGAACACCGAUUGCGAAGGCAGCUUACUAAACUAUUACUGACGCUGAUGCACGAAAGCGUGGGGAGCGAACAGGAUUAGAUACCCUAGUAGUCC
This 274-nucleotide ribosomal RNA is filed under the name uncultured bacterium. RNAcentral describes it as "partial 16S ribosomal RNA". It matches the Rfam family "Bacterial small subunit ribosomal RNA", at positions 523 to 796 of the family's 1533-position model. The record is from RNAcentral.